UUAAGGAAAUAGGCUUAGUUGGACAUUCUUAGGUCACCAUGACAAUGUGUGUUCUUGAAGAGGAUUGUAGGACCCCAGGCCCUUCCUUGCUCCCUCCCUUCCUGUAUAAAGUGAGUGGCUUUUCUCUGGAUUCCACCAUGUGAAAAGCUAACACAGGACUGUCCACAUUUUCUUGGCUCAAAGUUGGCGCUGGACUACUGCAUGAAAAACUAGAAGUAUGUGAUCAUUAACUCCCUGGUUCAGUGAAUUGACCAUGACCUUUGUUCAAAGAAUGCCAUGUUUGCCAAAGGAUGAAUGAAUGCCCUCUGCACUGGGACCUUCUCUGCCACACAUUCUGCAGCAUUAUGAAGAAGCUCUAAUUGGGAUCGGAGCCUGGACAGAUAGACAUAGGCCUGGCUCACUUUAGUGUCACCUUAGGCCAGCAAUAGUAAGGCACAAGGUUACUGCUGUC
Non-coding RNA from Peromyscus maniculatus bairdii (prairie deer mouse), 451 nucleotides. Lineage: Eukaryota; Metazoa; Chordata; Mammalia; Rodentia; Cricetidae. The record is from RefSeq and is a predicted model, not a curated record.